UUUUUUGUUUUGGGGCCCCCCACGCGCGCAAUCCAGCUCCCAAUAGCGUAUAUUUAAGUUGUUGCAGUUAAAAAGCUCGUAGUUGGAUUUCGGGUGGGGUGGUGCGGUCCGCCUCUGGUGUGCACUGCUCCGCUCCACCUUCCUGCCGGGGACGGGCUCCUGGACUUCACUGUCUGGGACUCGGAGUCGGCGAGGUUACUUUGAGUAAAUUAGAGUGUUCAAAGCAGGCCUACGCUCUGAAUACAUUAGCAUGGAAUAACACGAUAGGACUCUGGCCUAUCUGUUGGUCUGUGGGACUGGAGUAAUGAUUAAGAGGGGUAGUCGGGGGCAUUCGUAUUCCGUUGUCAGAGGUGAAAUUCUUGGAUUUACGGAAGACGAACAUCUGCGAAAGCAUUUGCCAAGGAUACUUUCAUUGAUCAAGAACGAAAGUUGGGGGCUCGAAGACGAUUAGAUACCGUCGUAGUCUCAACCAUAAACGAUGCCGACUAGGGAUUGGCGGAUGUUCUUUUGAUGACUCCGCCAGCACCUUAUGAGAAAUCAAAGUUUUUGGGUUCCGGGGGGAGUAUGGUCGCAAGGCUGAAACUUAAAGGAAUUGACGGAAGGGCACCACCAGGCGUGGAGCCUGCGGCUUAAUUUGACUCAACACGGGGAAACUUACCAGGUCCAGACACGGGAAGGAUUGACAGAUUGAGAGCUCUUUCUUGAUUCUGUGGGUGGUGGUGCAUGGCCGUUCUUAGUUGGUGGGUUGCCUUGUCAGGUUGAUUCCGGUAACGAACGAGACCUCAGCCUGCUAAAUAGUCAACAUCGCACCUGCGGUGUGCCGACUUCUUAGAGGGACUAUUGGCGUUCAGCCAAUGGAAGUGUGAGGCGAUCACAGUCAUAUAGAUCCCCCCUAUAAAAA
RNAcentral lists this ribosomal RNA (901 nucleotides) under Chlamydomonas sp. DBRF-2. RNAcentral describes it as "SSU rRNA". It matches the Rfam family "Eukaryotic small subunit ribosomal RNA", at positions 570 to 1481 of the family's 1831-position model. Lineage: Eukaryota; Viridiplantae; Chlorophyta; Chlorophyceae; Chlamydomonadales; Chlamydomonadaceae. The record is from RNAcentral.